Molecule: long non-coding RNA, 295 nt
Organism: Megalops cyprinoides (Indo-Pacific tarpon)
Lineage: Eukaryota; Metazoa; Chordata; Actinopteri; Elopiformes; Megalopidae
Exons: 4
Source: RefSeq, a predicted model, not a curated record
GCCAACCGUUGCCACCACUAAGACCAUAAACGUAGCUUCAGAAGCCAUUUCUGCGGUGGAACACGCCUGAACCACAAUGAGACUACCUGGAGUCUCCUUGCCUUCUACACCUGUCUCCUUUGUCCGUACCGCCCCUACCCAACGUCACCGUUACCUGGUCACGCCCCUUGCGUUGCCUGUCAUUUGUCCCGCCAACGUGCCGCUAUCCGUUAAUCAGUGCGGCCCUCGACUGGACCCCUUACACCCGCCUCUUGUACGUAGACGAACAGUUAGCCUUGAAACACCAGCAGUGCAC